AGUGUGAUUGCCAGAUUAUAUGGUAAGAAUAUUCGUUUUAUAAGAAACUGCCAAACUUUCUUCCAAAGUGGCUGUACCAUUUUGCAUUUCCACCAACAAC
This 100-nucleotide microRNA precursor is filed under the name Marmota monax (woodchuck). The record is from RNAcentral. Lineage: Eukaryota; Metazoa; Chordata; Mammalia; Rodentia; Sciuridae.